RNAcentral lists this non-coding RNA (30 nucleotides) under Cricetulus griseus (Chinese hamster). Lineage: Eukaryota; Metazoa; Chordata; Mammalia; Rodentia; Cricetidae. The record is from RNAcentral.
GUGGGCUGGAGAGACGGCUCAGUGGUUAAG